Cyprinus carpio (common carp) is the source of this 1897-nucleotide long non-coding RNA. RefSeq lists it as uncharacterized. NCBI's taxonomy places the organism in Eukaryota, Metazoa, Chordata, Actinopteri, Cypriniformes, Cyprinidae. The transcript has 2 exons. The record is from RefSeq and is a predicted model, not a curated record.
UAUAUAUAUAUAUAUAUGAUAAAAUGAACAAAAAAAUUACACAUUAUAAAUGAUGGAAAAUCAUGCAAUUUGGCUUGAAGAACAACAAUGGUGCAUUAUGUUUUGGUUUAGGAUAUAACAUAUAUUUAGCAUAUAAACGAAAGCCUGUGGCUUCUGUGGCACAUUCUUACUAGCACAAAUGCUAGAUGGGAACACAAGUAUUGGCAACAGGCAUUAGAUACGAACACAUAUACACACACAUAUUCUCUGACACAUUUCUUCACGCACACAGUUCUAUCUUAGUCUAAAAUAACGAAGAUAAACCAAACUUGAAAUUAUCUUCAGUUCUUGCUACCUCUGACAUAAUGUUGUUAUAUUAGAAACCUGUUGCUUUAUGCGGCGGCAUUGUAACGUUCAGCCAACUCACUGAAGCUACCAGCAGUACAGCCCAUCUCUUAACGCUCAUCAUCUGCUAUAGUGAGUUGUCUAUGCUAUUCUCUUAUCAGUCUUUCAACAGCAACCAAGCCUGAAACUGAUCUGCAGUCUGUGCCAGCCGUUAUCAAUGCUGUCUACCGAGCUGGGUGCUCCAUCAGCGCAAAAGACAGUCUGUCAGGGCAUUGUGGGAUUGAUUGUUGUGGAUGGAGUAGAGGCCCAAGAGACUUGAGCCGAGCCCCAAGCCAAGGCAGCCGUUGCAGCCGAGGGUUGCGGUGUGAGAGGUUGAAGGAGGAGUGAAGGUACACGGAAAUGGUGAGAAGACCGCAUGAGCGUGAAGGUAGAAGGACCCUUUGCGACUUGAAAAACAACCACGUUUACCAGUGCAGUCCACAAACCAAUCAACGACACAAGGAGACCGUCACAUACAUAGCCUGCACACUCCGUUCGGAGUGAGAGCCACAUUAGGAUAAGUGCUGGGGAACCAGUGUAUCCCUAACAUUUGGUUACCACUAUAUGUGUCCUCUUUUAUGAAAACUCUCACUUUUCUAGCACUAUCUCCUCAUAUUUGGGUGGAGGAUCACUGUAGGGGGCUGUCGUCUCAUCGCUGCUGCUCUCUAAGUGGCCGGUAACUUCCUCGUAGGAUGGCGGCGGGGUUGCGCCAGACAGGUGGGAAGCCACGGACAAAGACGAAUCUUGCACGUACAGGGAGCGAUUGUUCUGAUUGUGGCUGGCGUGAUGAUGGGCGUCUUGCGGCGUGACUGAAGCCCCGCCCCUCUCGGCACUGCUGACCACCACGCUGGGCCUGUCAUUGGCGUGAGAGUUCUCUGAAUGCGAGGGAGGGUCCCGGUGCACCAGGAUGCGUGGGAGGCUGCGGGCGUUACGGUUAGCCAGAUAUCGGUUCUGGGUGUAGGCCGGACGCCGACGUGUGGCCUUCUGCAGUUGACAGCGCCAGAUGAGGAAGAGCGCAAUGAUGAUGAGGAGAGCCACGCCCAGUAGGGGCACCACCAUGUACACAGCGUCCGACCGCUCCGAGCGGGAAUCAGCAUUGCUGUUCACUGUGUAGAUGCUGCGGUUUUUCCAGAACUCCAUCUAUGAAUGAAGUGAUAGAUGGUUAAAGCCACUUUCACAAAUUAAACUUAAAAUGCAGUGGCAUUCACACACCACCACCAGAACUCCAUUCCAAAGUUUUGGCAUUUUUUUUUUUUUUUUUUUUUUUUUUGACAUUCUGCUGUUAAACCUGAUUAUUUAGAAAAUAAGUUAAAAUAAUGCUGGUUUAUGGCUUCAACAAAAGCAUAUACCAUCAAUUAACGACCUUGAAAAAAAAAUCAGGCCUCUCUUUAAAGUUAAAACUGUUAAAAUAUUAUAAAUCCAAAAAUGUUUAAAAUAUCAUAUACAUUCCUUUUUUAUUUCCAUCACAGAAUGCUAUUAAACACAGUGGAACAGGAACUGAAAUAAAAAUGUUCAUGACUUAAAAAAAAAAUGG